Long non-coding RNA from Chiroxiphia lanceolata (lance-tailed manakin), 1243 nucleotides. RefSeq lists it as uncharacterized. Lineage: Eukaryota; Metazoa; Chordata; Aves; Passeriformes; Pipridae. The transcript has 3 exons. The record is from RefSeq and is a predicted model, not a curated record.
CACCUUCUGAUGUUUAAUUCUUUUUUUCAUAUAUUGAUGUCCAGAGUUUAAAAUGGGGGCACCAAAAAAUUUUCUCAAACCUGGAUGUGCACUGCUGAGCAAACUGGAGAUGGUCAAAAUACUUGGAGGGAUAGCAGAGAGGCCACCAAUAUACUGAGGAUGGAACCCAAAAAUGGUCAUUUUUAGCCAUAAUGACGUGGGUGACACCAUGGAAGGGGGAAAAAGAAAAGAUGAAGAGGUCAAGAGCAGAAAGUGCAAGAGUCUGAGAAGAGUUCCCCUGCUCUACAGACAAAAUACUUCAACAUAAAACACCUGCCUCUAAAUAUUUGUAGUAAAAUGUUGUAUAUUUUGAGCCACUUCCAGGCAGAACUUCACAUCAAGGAAGAAUUCUGUGUUUCCUCAAACUGCUGUGGUUUGAAUGGACCCAAGUGCUUCAUGUAGCUCGUGCCUGUCUUUUGAUGCUGUGCUUUUGAUGAAUCCAGGACAAAAAGAGGGUGUUCAGAUGCUUCUCCCACAAGGGCAUCAUCACCAUCACCAGCCAAGCUCUGGGAACCAUUUGCAGCUGGUGGGUUUUGUUGCCACAGGAAAGGCACCAUCAUCCAGCACCAAACCCAGAGCUCUGCACGGGUACCACCAAAACCCAGGUAUGUUUGUGACAAUUACAAUUUAUUUUGGGGUAAAGGCCACACCUGUGGCCUCACAGGGUCUGAAGAUGGAUCUAAAGGAGGUUUGUUCUUGCACACACACAGUUCCUCUUUUGCACUAAGCAAAUAAUCUUAAUUGAGAGAGGUGCAGACCUGCUGAUAUCCUCAAAGCUAUGGAGGUAUUUCACAGUUGUGUUAUUGAGAGGGACUUUGGUCUGCUUUUCCUUCAGAUAAAAGUGUUUUAUUGCAAACAAAAAUCUACCUGUGUCACUUCUGAGAAUGCCCUGGGCUGGUUCCAGCACUCUGUGUGUCUCCAGGAUUUUCACUGCGUGAGAAGUGUGUGGGGUUCAGAGGGAGAUUGGUGGAAACCACUUUGUUCUGCCCUAGUUCUGCUGAAGGGUACAAAGUUCUGCUCUUCCCCUCUUGGGUGCAGACAGGCUUUGAAGGCCAGACUGUUUUCUGUGUAAAAAAAAAUCAUUGAAGCACUUUGGAAUGUCCCUGCCUGAAGAUAAAUCUCUGUUGAGUAGUUUUGCCUUCUUUAUCAUGAUAUGAUUACUUAUAUUGCAGCAAUUGUGUUUUGUACCAAACCUGUGCCAUAA